GUGGGGAAUUUUUCGCAAUGGGGGAAACCCUGACGAAGCAACGCCGCGUGGAGGAUGAAGGCCUUCGGGUCGUAAACUCCUGUCGACUGGGAAGAAUGCACCUGACCUAAUACGUCAAAGUGUUGACUGUACCGGUGGAGGAAGCCACGGCUAACUCUGUGCCAGCAGCCGCGGUAAUACAGAGGUGGCAAGCGUUGUUCGGAAUUACUGGGCGUAAAGGGCGCGUAGGCGGCCCGCCAAGUCCCGUGUGAAAUCCCCCGGCUCAACCGGGGAACGGCGCGGGAAACUAGCAGGCUUGAGUUCGGGAGAGGGAAGCGGAAUUCCGGGUGUAGCGGUGAAAUGCGCAGAUAUCCGGAGGAACACCGGUGGCGAAGGCGGCUUCCUGGACCGACACUGACGCUGAGGCGCGAAAGCUAGGGGAGCAAACGGGAUUAGAUACCCCGGUAGUCC
RNAcentral lists this ribosomal RNA (450 nucleotides) under uncultured bacterium. Its description in RNAcentral is "bacterial SSU rRNA". It matches the Rfam family "Bacterial small subunit ribosomal RNA", at positions 354 to 796 of the family's 1533-position model. The record is from RNAcentral.